Molecule: ribosomal RNA, 254 nt
Filed under: uncultured bacterium
Lineage: Bacteria
Description: partial 16S ribosomal RNA
Rfam family: Bacterial small subunit ribosomal RNA
Source: RNAcentral
CACGGGGGGGGCAAGCGUUGUUCGGAAUUACUGGGCGUAAAGGGCUCGUAGGCGGCCAACUAAGUCAGACGUGAAAUCCCUCGGCUUAACCGGGGAACUGCGUCUGAUACUGGAUGGCUAGAGUGUGGGAGAGGGAUGCGGAAUUCCAGGUGUAGCGGUGAAAUGCGUAGAUAUCUGGAGGAACACCGGUGGCGAAGGCGGCAUCCUGGACCACGACUGACGCUGAGUGAGCGAAAGCCAGGGGAGCAAACAGG